Molecule: ribosomal RNA, 472 nt
Filed under: uncultured bacterium
Lineage: Bacteria
Description: partial 16S ribosomal RNA
Rfam family: Bacterial small subunit ribosomal RNA
Source: RNAcentral
GACGAACGCUGGCGGCGUGCUUAACACAUGCAAGUCGAACGCUGAAGCUUGGUGCUUGCACUGGGUGGAUGAGUGGCGAACGGGUGAGUAAUACGUGAGUAACCUGCCCUUGACUCUGGGAUAAGCCUGGGAAACUGGGUCUAAUACUGGAUACGACAUGUCACCGCAUGGUGGUGUGUGGAAAGGGUUUUACUGGUUUUGGAUGGGCUCACGGCCUAUCAGCUUGUUGGUGGGGUAAUGGCUCACCAAGGCGACGACGGGUAGCCGGCCUGAGAGGGUGACCGGCCACACUGGGACUGAGACACGGCCCAGACUCCUACGGGAGGCAGCAGUGGGGAAUAUUGCACAAUGGGCGGAAGCCUGAUGCAGCGACGCCGCGUGAGGGACGACGGCCUUCGGGUUGUAAACCUCUUUCAGCACGGAAGAAGCGAAAGUGACGGUACGUGCAGAAGAAGCGCCGGCUAACUACGUG